GGCGGGGUAGCUCAGGUGGUUAGAGCGAGGGUCUCAUAAUCCCUAGGUCGGCGGUUCAAGUCCGCCCCCCGCUACCA
RNAcentral lists this transfer RNA (77 nucleotides) under Pseudomonadota bacterium. Its description in RNAcentral is "Proteobacteria bacterium tRNA-Met". It matches the Rfam family "tRNA". Rfam says of the family: Transfer RNA (tRNA) molecules are approximately 80 nucleotides in length. Their secondary structure includes four short double-helical elements and three loops (D, anti-codon, and T loops). Further hydrogen bonds mediate the characteristic L-shaped molecular structure. tRNAs have two regions of fundamental functional importance: the anti-codon, which is responsible for specific mRNA codon recognition, and the 3' end, to which the tRNAs corresponding amino acid is attached (by aminoacyl-tRNA synthetases). tRNAs cope with the degeneracy of the genetic code in two manners: having more than one tRNA (with a specific anti-codon) for a particular amino acid; and 'wobble' base-pairing, i.e. permitting non-standard base-pairing at the 3rd anti-codon position. RNAcentral also lists the same sequence under 1 other name. The record is from RNAcentral. Lineage: Bacteria; Pseudomonadati; Pseudomonadota.